GAUGAAGAACGUAGCGAAAUGCGAUACGUAAUGUGAAUUGCAGAAUUCAGUGAAUCAUCGAAUCUUUGAACGCAUAUUGCGCUCUCUGGUAUUCCGGAGAGCAUGCUUGUUUGAGUAUCAGUAAACACCUCAACUUCCAUAUCUUUUUUUGAAAUGGGAGUUGGACUUGAGUGAUCCCAACGCUUUUCCUCACCGAAAAGUGGCGGGUUACUUGAAAUGCAGGUGCAGCUGGACUUUUCUCUGAGCUAUAAGCAUAUCUAUUUAGUCUGCCUAAAAAACAGAUUAUUACCUUUGCUGCAGCUAACAUAAAGGAGAUUAGUUCUUGUGCUGACUGAUGCAGGAUUCACAAAGACAGCUUCGGCCGACUUUGUAAACUCGAUCUCAAAUCAAGUAAGACUACCCGCUGAACUUAAGCAUAUCAAAAGCGGAGGA
Molecule: unclassified non-coding RNA, 432 nt
Filed under: soil metagenome
Description: partial contains 5.8S ribosomal RNA, internal transcribed spacer 2, and large subunit ribosomal RNA
Rfam family: 5.8S ribosomal RNA (bases 1-120)
Source: RNAcentral